AGAACGAACGCUGGCGGCAGGCUUAACACAUGCAAGUCGAGCGCCCCGCAAGGGGAGCGGCAGACGGGUGAGUAACGCGUGGGAACAUACCCUCCGGUUCGGAAUAGCUCAGGGAAACUUGGAUUAAUACCGGAUACGGCCUAGCGGCGAAAGAUUCAUCGCCGGAGGAUUGGCCCGCGUUCGAUUAGCUAGUUGGUGAGGUAACGGCUCACCAAGGCGACGAUCGAUAGCUGGUCUGAGAGGAUGAUCAGCCACAUUGGGACUGAGACACGGCCCAAACUCCUACGGGAGGCAGCAGUGGGGAAUAUUGAACAAUGGGCGCAAGCCUGAUCCAGCCAUGCCGCGUGAGUGAUGACGGCCUUAGGGUUGUAAAGCUCUUUCGCUAGGGACGAUAAUGACGGUACCUAGACAAGAAGCCCGGCUAACUUCGUGCCAGCAGCCGC
Molecule: ribosomal RNA, 443 nt
Filed under: uncultured bacterium
Lineage: Bacteria
Description: SSU rRNA
Rfam family: Bacterial small subunit ribosomal RNA
Source: RNAcentral